Molecule: unclassified non-coding RNA, 263 nt
Filed under: plant metagenome
Description: partial contains small subunit ribosomal RNA, internal transcribed spacer 1, and 5.8S ribosomal RNA
Source: RNAcentral
UUUCCGUAGGUGAACCUGCGGAAGGAUCAUUAUUGUAUAACCGAGGCGCGAGGGCUGUCGCUGACCCGAAAGGUCGUGCACGCCCGAGUGCCCUCACACACAUCCAUCUCACCCCUAUGUGCACCACCGCGUGGGUCCCCCUUUGGCUUGUUCGGAGGGGGGCUUACGCUUUCACACAAACUUUGUAUGCAGUGUAGAAUGUAUUUUUUGUUCUUGCGAUCACGCAAUCAAUACAACUUUCAACAACGGAUCUCUUGGCUCUC